UAAGGAAUAUUGCGCAAUGGGGGAAACCCUGACGCAGCGACGCCGCGUGAGUGAUGAAGGCCUUCGGGUUGUAAAGCUCUGUUCUCAGGGAAGAAAAAAAUGACGGUACCUGAGAAGAAAGGACCGGCUAACUUCGUGCCAGCAGCCGCGGUAAGACGAGGGGUCCUAGCGUUGCUCGGAAUCAUUGGGCGUAAAGCGGGUGUAGGUGGCUUAGUAAGUCAGAAGUGAAAGCCCUGGGCUCAACCCAGGAAGUGCUUUUGAAACUGCUUUGCUUGAGUGUAGGAGAGGGCAGUAGAAUUCCAGGUGUAGUGGUGAAAUACGUAGAUAUCUGGAGGAAUACCGGAGGGGAAGCCGGCUGCCUGGCCUAACACUGACACUCAGACCCGAAAGCGUGGGGAUC
This 400-nucleotide ribosomal RNA is filed under the name uncultured bacterium. Its description in RNAcentral is "bacterial SSU rRNA". It matches the Rfam family "Bacterial small subunit ribosomal RNA", at positions 355 to 769 of the family's 1533-position model. The record is from RNAcentral.